GGAAAGGACCCAAGUGAGGGAACCGGGGAUGACAUUAAGAGACUUGAGAAGUACCCUUUAUCCUCAUUAAUCAGAACUCCUUUCUUCACACUCAGAGGCCACAUUGUCUCAACCCACCUGUUGGACAGCUGGAGGAGUGACAUCACACAGAGUCCAGACAGACCGUCCAACCAGCAGCCAGAUGAUCAGAAGGGGGAGGUGCCAGAUGAGUCUCACCUGUUCCAGUUCUUUGACUGGGAGACAGAUGCACUUCAUGCUACAGGUGUUAGCUGAGGAGAGCUAAGUCACGUAGACAACCCUCACACUGACAGUGGAACCUCGUUGGAGGCAGAGGCCCCGCCCACUAGCCCAGGUGGAAGUCUCGCUUCUGUGCACUGAUGUAGACUCACCUGUUAUUGAUCGCAUAUUGAUGAUCAUCAGUCGACAGAA
Anarrhichthys ocellatus (wolf-eel) is the source of this 429-nucleotide long non-coding RNA. RefSeq lists it as uncharacterized. The record is from RefSeq and is a predicted model, not a curated record. Lineage: Eukaryota; Metazoa; Chordata; Actinopteri; Perciformes; Anarhichadidae. The transcript has 4 exons.